AUACAGCUGCUUGGAGUAAACGUUGUUUAUUACCAGCACAUGAUAAAUUCAAUCUCAUUGUGGAGACAAACCAGAGAACCAGAGCUCAAUCGUUUGUGGAAUUGUCACAUGUUAUAUUCUGUGCAUGGGUCGCAAUUAGACAAAUACAAUCAAGAACUGGAAUCUGUUCCUGGUUGCAAACUGGUGAAAUUCAUGAACCACACCAUCAGCAUUGGCAGUGAAGUGACAACUAGAAUUCUGAGGUGCAGUACUGCCAAUAUACUUUGAGAGGAUGAGGCUGUCACUGGCUAGACUAGCAUUUAUUGCCCAUCACAAAUUGCUCAGAGGGCAGUUAAGAGUCAACCAUAGUGUUGGGGAUCUGGAGUCACAUGAAGGACAGAUCCGCUGCUCAACUGGCAAUAUUUGAUCCUCCCGUUUGCUGAUGUUGGCCCUAGAAGACUGGCCACUUUCUGCUCUGGAGAAAGUGAGGACUGCAAAUGCUGGAGAUCAGGCCCACAUUCCUGAUGAAGAGCUCAUCGACUCUCCAGCUCUUCGGAUGCCACUUUCUGUUCCAUAGACUGUUCUUGGACAGAUCCCCUGAAUAUGAGUGUCCUAAGAAGACAACUGUGUGUGGCUAAGUUUCUGAACUGAGUGCAGACUGUGAGUGUGCUAACAUUACUAGAAGUGCCUGACUAACAGUGGCCUCCAUUGAGUGGACGGAGUUCUAGCCCAAUCGUUGGAAAUCAAGCAGUUCUCAUAGUUAUUCCUAAGAGAGCUAUCUUCUCCAGAUGGAAAAUGGAUCAGAAGAAGAGUAGGAUGACCCAACGAAAACCUCAUUAACAGCUUGGCUAGAGAGCAGGACGAUGUCUUCAAAACUUUAAUGGGACCAAUAUAUUCUACACCAACAGCCUGUUCAUCCUCUUGUCUCAUGAGACAUCUCCAGUUGUCAUGGUUUUAUACUUAAUGUAUCCUCUCUAAA
Molecule: long non-coding RNA, 958 nt
Organism: Hemiscyllium ocellatum (epaulette shark)
Lineage: Eukaryota; Metazoa; Chordata; Chondrichthyes; Orectolobiformes; Hemiscylliidae
Exons: 3
Source: RefSeq, a predicted model, not a curated record